This 451-nucleotide long non-coding RNA is filed under the name Ananas comosus (pineapple). RNAcentral describes it as "long non-coding RNA (ACOM_LNC011734)". Lineage: Eukaryota; Viridiplantae; Streptophyta; Magnoliopsida; Poales; Bromeliaceae. The record is from RNAcentral.
UGGUAAACAAAAAGGAGUUGAGCUCAUGUGCUUUAGCAUUUAUACUUGUAACUUUUUAGCCUUCGCAUCAUCUCAAAAUUCGUAUAGCAAUAUUAAUGAUGUGUCCUAUUAAGUUUAUUUUAUUAACGUUGUACAAAUCUUGAGACGAUUCAAUGGCUAAGAAUUACAAGCACACGUGCUUUUAAAAGCACAGAAGCUCAACUCAAUAAAAAAUAUAUAUGCUAAAUAAAUAUAUUUUUUUUAGAGAUAGGUAACACGCUAUCCGCUUCGUUUAUUUCAUUUAGAAAUAAACUUAGUUAGAAAUGUGAAUCAAUUAAGAUUCGAACUUGGGACCUCGGGUACCGAUCAUCAAGUCCAUUGACACUUGCGCUAGGAACAGUUGGUUAUGCUAAAUAAAUGUUGAUGCAACCACACAAGCCCACAAUGUAAAAACUGCAAAGUUACCUUCUAC